Molecule: ribosomal RNA, 253 nt
Filed under: uncultured bacterium
Lineage: Bacteria
Description: partial 16S ribosomal RNA
Rfam family: Bacterial small subunit ribosomal RNA
Source: RNAcentral
UACAGAGGGUGCGAGCGUUAAUCGGAAUUACUGGGCGUAAAGGGUGCGUAGGUGGUUUGAUAAGUUAGGUGUGAAAGUCCUGGGCUUAACCUGGGGAUUGCGCCUGAUACUGUUGAGCUAGAGUACUGUAGAGGAAAGUGGAAUUUCCGGUGUAGCGGUGAAAUGCGUAGAUAUCGGAAGGAACAUCAGUGGCGAAGGCGGCUUUCUGGACAGAUACUGACACUGAGGCACGAAAGCGUGGGGAGCAAACAGG